AAUCCUUGAUGAGGGCACCUUAUCAAAAGAUUCUUAAAUCCCUCCCAUGCAUCAUAUAAUGUCUCAAGCUCAAUUUAGGCAAACGAAGAGAUGUCGUUCCUCAACUU
This 107-nucleotide small nucleolar RNA is filed under the name Gossypium hirsutum (cotton). RNAcentral describes it as "Plant small nucleolar RNA R71". It matches the Rfam family "Plant small nucleolar RNA R71". Rfam says of the family: R71 is a member of the C/D box family of snoRNAs containing the C (UGAUGA) and D (CUGA) box motifs. Lineage: Eukaryota; Viridiplantae; Streptophyta; Magnoliopsida; Malvales; Malvaceae. The record is from Rfam by way of RNAcentral. RNAcentral also lists the same sequence under 1 other name.